Molecule: long non-coding RNA, 320 nt
Organism: Mastomys coucha (southern multimammate mouse)
Lineage: Eukaryota; Metazoa; Chordata; Mammalia; Rodentia; Muridae
Exons: 2
Source: RefSeq, a predicted model, not a curated record
GUCAAAACUUACUCAGAGGAUGGUGCCCUGGGCAGGAAGAGGAUGUGAAACUGUGUCACAUUUGGAAGUCUCUGAGGAAUUGAGCCUGUCUGGAGAAGCACCUGAAGCCAUUCUUACCUGAACCUUAAGGAACAGAUGGCACAAUCAACAGAGGAACAACAUGGACUUGAGAGUGACUCAGGGCAUGGUGGGCCUACAGGCUGGCUGGAUGGUGGAUGGUGGCCUCACAGGUCUGAGGAUGCAGAGAUUUGUAGCACACUUAGAAUCUCUGGAAAGAACCUAUGACAAAAUGGCACCAUUAUUAAAGUGUUAGGGUAGUG